GAUGAACGCUGGCGGCGUGCCUAAUACAUGCAAGUCGAGCGAACGGACGAGAAGCUUGCUUCUCUGAUGUUAGCGGCGGACGGGUGAGUAACACGUGGAUAACCUACCUAUAAGACUGGGAUAACUUCGGGAAACCGGAGCUAAUACCGGAUGAUAUUUUGAACCGCAUGGUUCAAAAGUGAAAGACGGUCUUGCUGUCACUUAUAGAUGGAUCCGCGCUGCAUUAGCUAGUUGGUAAGGUAACGGCUUACCAAGGCAACGAUGCAUAGCCGACCUGAGAGGGUGAUCGGCCACACUGGAACUGAGACUCGGUCCAGACUCCUACGGGAGGCAGCAGUAGGGAAUCUUCCGCAAUGGGCGAAAGCCUGACGGAGCAACGCUGCGUGAGUGAUGAAGGUCUUCGGAUCGUAAAACUCUGUUAUUAGGGAAGAACAUAUGUGUAAGUAACUGUGCACAUCUUGACGGUACCUAAUCAGAAAGCCACGGCUAACUACGUG
Molecule: ribosomal RNA, 497 nt
Filed under: uncultured bacterium
Lineage: Bacteria
Description: partial 16S ribosomal RNA
Rfam family: Bacterial small subunit ribosomal RNA
Source: RNAcentral